CGCGCAGGCGGCGGUGUAAGCAUGGCGUGAAAGCCCCCGGCUCAACCGGGGAGGGUCGUCGUGGACUGCACCGCUUGAGGGCGAUAGGGGCUGGUGGAAUGCCUGGUGUAGUGGUGAAAUGCGUAGAGAUCAGGCGGAACACCCGUGGCGAAGGCGGCCAGCUGGGUCGUCCCUGACGCUGAGGCGCGAAGGCGUGGGGAGCGAACG
Molecule: ribosomal RNA, 207 nt
Filed under: uncultured bacterium
Lineage: Bacteria
Description: partial 16S ribosomal RNA
Rfam family: Bacterial small subunit ribosomal RNA
Source: RNAcentral